Molecule: long non-coding RNA, 411 nt
Filed under: Nicotiana benthamiana
Lineage: Eukaryota; Viridiplantae; Streptophyta; Magnoliopsida; Solanales; Solanaceae
Description: long non-coding RNA (NBEN_LNC035208)
Source: RNAcentral
AUGGAUUACGCGAAAACGAGAGAGAGAUAAUAUACAAAUAUAAUCUCACUAUAAACGCCGAUAUCUCAAUCCUCCCUCUGUGUAUGUUUUGAAUUGAGACUUUAGGAAACUUUACUCUUCUCCUGGCUACUGUUUAUCGUACCUGCGUUCAAAAAUUGAUAUUGAUUGUGGUAGAAGAAUACAAAUUUUGAUAUAAUAUUUGCCCCUUGAAUUUUAAUGGAAUUACGAAAUAGUCGCUGCUAUAUUUUGAUGUAUGAUGAGUAUGUGGACCAAUAUGAUAUCAUAAAGUUGUUAUAAGAGUAAACACUCGCGGAAAGUGUGCGUGAACAUCAAGACCAAUGAGAUUUUAAAUUGAUUGGCGGAGGGUGCGAUUUUACAGAUGAUUAUUGGACAAUGCAUGAUCCGUGAACC